UCGUCAGCGCGCGCAGGGGGGCCGGGCAGGUGCAGAGGGAGCCUCUGCCCCCACCCGGGACUUUCUUAGACAGGGCUCGGGAAGGGUGUUUGCUAAGACCACUUUCUGAUCAGAUAACGAGCUGACACCAAUUCUUCUAUUUUCAGCUGGCACCGAGCGGGGUCCGACGUUAUCACCGGCCGGUUAUCUGUGUCCCCUGGAAGGAACUCCGGCUGUUCCCAGAACAGAACACAUUUUUCCAUCCCCCUUGCAUGGAGCUGGGGCAGUUGACCCAAGUUCUGUUCAGUGUGGUGAGAAGCAAUUUGGACCACUUCUAGACCUGGCUCAAAGACGUCCUGCACCAUCCUCACACUGUCUGUCGUUGGCUGGUUGGAUGCAGAGGAGACAGCAUAGCUGCUGCCUGAAGAGGUUCCUGAAUGAAUGAGUGGAGUGGACUUCCAUCCCUGCUCCCACCAAGCCACCACUGGACUGUCACAAGAGCGAGAGGGGGAGAAACAACAACUUUAUUUUAUUAAGCCACAGAUUCUGGAAUUUUUCUUAGCGUGGUUAGUCUAACCUGACAAAUACACAUUACUCUUCUCUCUUCUCCAAUUUUAUUAGAUCUUCAUUCUAAAGAUCCAAGAGUGCUGUUUAAAAACAAUCAAUACGCAAAGAAAAAGUCCUCAAUAUGGAAAGUACACAUGAUACAAGGUUAAUGAAAAAUGUGGGUUACAGAGCUGCACACUCACUUGCAACUACACUGGAAAUUAUGCAGAUAAAAUAGACUAUAGAGGCUGUCGGCUCUCACACCCUCAUUUGCCAGAUGAAGAAGCUGAGCUUCAAAGGAAAGUGAAUGCCCAAGGUCACACUCAAGGUUAGUCAAUGAAGAGAGACAGAAUAAGAAAGCAGAACUUGGACUCCGGGCCCCAGUGUUUUCCCCACUGCAUCAUGCUUCAUCAUUAGUCAAACAAAGGAGUCUCUUGAGAAGGGACAAAUCCUUUCAAAGCAUAAAAACCAAAGUAAUCCUAACCAUGCAUACGCAGAGUGUAACGUAGAAACAUUUCUCGUUCACAUGGGGCACUCACUGCCCGAGACCCUUCACCUUGGUGCUCUUCUGUAGCCCAGUGGCUUAACCUCUUUGAAGUUCUGUUUCCUCCCCUGGGAAAGUGACGAUGGUGGUGGUGGUGGUGGUGGUGAUGUUGGCAACAAUGAUGAUGAUAUUAAUGAGAAUAAUGUUACUAAUGAUGAUGGCUGGUCCUACCCUUUGUCAGGCACCAUGCCGAGUGCCUCAGUGCUUCAUAAAGAUCACUUCAUUUAAUUUCCAUGCCACUAUGAGGUGGGCAUGGUAAUCAUUACUGUUAUUACCAUCCCCUUUUAUCAGGCGAGGAACAGGCCUACAAAAGUUAAUUAACUCCCCGAAAGAUACUCAAAUAGUAAAAUGAUUAAAAUUAGAAGUUAAACUCAGGCAGGCCAGCUACAGAAGUGGAAUUCCAGUACACAUGUUGCAAAAAUCCUAACAAAUAGUUUGCAAAUGCCUAAAGUUCAGGAAAAGUAGAUCAUGCUAUGAUGACCCCUCUGAAAAGGAGGUAGAGAUAUUGGCCAACCUUCUUCAGAGACUUGUUUUGGGCUUCAUAUCUGAUCCCCCUCACACCACUAAAAUUCAUGUAUUAAAAUCUUUUUUUAAAAAACAUUUUAUUUAUUUAUGAGAGACACACAGCGAGAGGCAGAGACAAAAGCAGAGGGAGAAGCAGCCUCCCCGUGGGGAGCCUGAUGUAGGACUCGAUCCCUGGACCCUAGGAUCACACACUGAGCCGAAGGCAGACCUCACCUGCUAAGCCACCCAGGCAUCCCAUGUGUUGAAAUCUUAAACCCCCAGUGUGAUAGUAUUUGGUGAUGGGGCCUUAGGGAGGUGAUUAGGUAAAGAAGGUUGAGCCUCACUGAUGGGAUUGAUGUCCUCGGAAGAAGUAAAGUAGACUAGAGCCUGUUCUCUCAGCCGCAUGAAGACACAGCAAGAAGGCAGCUGCCUGCAAGGCAAGAAGUAUGUCUCACAAGAUACCAGAUCUGCCUGUGCCUUGAUCUUGGGCUUCACAGCCUUCAGAACUGUGAGAAAGAAGUAUUUGUUGUUUAAGCCUCUGGUCUAUGAUAUUAUUGUUAUAGCAGCCCAAACUCACUAAGACAGAGGUUGUUCUAAAGAAAAAAUGAAAUCAUAGGUUAUGGUGGGGCUUCUGAAACUACCACAUCCUAUAAACAUGAUGUAACAGCAUUAAUUCAUCUAAUUCUAAUAACUUCCCAAGGUAGUUACUGUUACUACCACCUUCAUUUAAAAAUGAGAAAACUGACUCACAGCCCAAUAACUUAGCCAAGGAAUGGUUGGCCUGGGAUGCAAAUGCAACAGUCUGGUACAACUGCCUGAAAUUUUAACCACUGCACUAGGAGUGUUUCUAAAAAUCACGAUUAUUUUUGAAGCAGAAAGUUCCUAGGUCAUAAGAUACAGUUCAUGUACUUCAUCUCUUGAGUUUGGAGUUGAUCAUAUGUAGAUAGUCACUCUCCCCAGGAUGCCUUCAAUCAUCCUUCAUCCUAACAAUCUAAAGAAUAGCCAGCUGUUGCCAGUUCCUAAUUUGGGAGUGGUCUAGAAGAACAAUGUGGAGAUCCAAGAGCAGCGCUCAGUGAGUUCCUUGAGUCCAUUCCCCUUUCCUCAGCCAGGCAUCUCAGUCUCUGGGGACUUGGUCAUUCUGGGUGACAGUGACAUGAGCUGAUGUGAGUGGGUGCCCAAGCUGCAUGCUAGCCAGCAACAUUUAAAAUGAAUGAGGCUGCUCUCCACUGAGCCCAAAUGCUUCACUGGAAAAAGCCAGUCACUGUAUUUUUUGCAAGACAGCUGCAAAAACAGGCCACCAAAUUCAGAGGCAAGUAGGAGAUGCAGAAGAGACAGGGAUUCACAGUGAUUGGGGAAAAAAAAAUAACCAUAUUACUAUGGCAGAAGUGCUGAGGAAGCCCGGGAGUCUCCACAUAGACAGUGAAGAGGCAGCAGGACCCAUGAAUUCAUUUUAAGAAAAGGAUUUGAAGCCUUGUCUAGAUUCAGAGAUUGUUAGAAUUGGAAGGAAACAUAAAUGCCAUAUUAGUCCACUUCCUUGUUUUACAAGUAAGAAAAGUGAUGGCCAGGAAGGUAAGUGACUCCCUCAAAGUCACAUAGCUGACUAAGGGCUCUGCAUCUAUGUAGAGGGUGGGUGGUGUGUACGAAUAGAGGGUGGCCCUACCUGGAGGGUAUGGGGCCCUGUGGGUCACUCCCACAUCCCUUCAAAAGGCCCUCCGCAAGGUGCAAAGUCCUUUCUGAUCUGGCUCCAUUAUUUCUGCUGCCCACCUCCCUCCUCACAUCCAUCCUGUGCCUACAACCCCAACCUCCUGGCUUUCCUUUAACCUGGCAAGCCUGCUACUGCCUGAGGUCCUUUGCACAUACCUCUUCCUCUGCCUGGAAUGCUCUUUCCUCAAAUACCCAUGUAUCUCAGUCUGCAGUGUGCUGGAACCAGCUCAGAUCUGGUCCAUUAUUGUCAAAUUUUCAGGAAUUUUGUGAGACAGUUGUUAAUUUACGGUUAAAUGUUACUAUAUUAAAAACAAAGGUGGGGCAUCUGGGUGGCUCAGUCAGUUAAGCAUCUGCCUGUGGCUCAGGUCAUGAUCUCAGGGUCCUGGGAUCAUCCAGCCCACAUCUGGAUUCACUGCUCUGUGGGGAACCUGCUUCUCCUUCCUCUGCUCCUCCCCCUAGCUUGUGCUUUCUCUUUCUCUUUCUCUCUCUCUCUCAAAUAAAUAAAAUCUUUAAAAAAAAAUUGUUUUAUGACAAAGGUAAUAAAUGCCCAGUGCUUCCUAAUUAUUUUGCUGCAUCCCACUUUUACCUGUGCUCUUGAGGUUAUUUAUGUGUAUUGUAUCCUUUUGGUGGGACUACAACUCCACAUUCAUGACUUCGUGUUGGUAGCUUAAAACUAGCCAUCGUGGGCAUAUUUACAGAAAUUGGCACAUCCUACAAACCAGGGCUUGCUUUCCUUAUUUUUCUAGACUUACAAAAGUAAUGGAUAAAAAUACUAGUAAUGAAAAAAAAAUACUAGUAAUGUAGAUUAAGCAUAAAAUUGUAUCAUGCUGAUAGCCGUUACAAUGUGACUAGCACAGCAUUUGAGGACAUCUCCUAGUAUUGGAAAACUCUUGUCCUUUUCAGAAGAGCAGUAACCUAAUGACAUUGAUGAAUGGGUGAAAUUCAGAUAUUCAUCUCUGUUGUUUCACUUUUUCUUAUUCAUUAAGGUGAAAGAAAAUAUCAGCUAGCAUUCAUGUCAGAACUACUCUUAUCAGUUAAAAUUAUGGUUUGGCUAUAAUUACAACCGAGUUCAGCAAAAAUCAACGAAAGCCUUUUAGGAGAAUUAACUGGCCAUAUAGAGUUUAACAUAAAGAGUAUUGUGUUUUGUUUAUUAUAUGUAUACUAUGAACUAUAUAUCUUUUUAUCAGUAAAAUUCAUUUUAAAACCCAUGUAUAUAUAAUAUGUUUAUUUAUUUAUUUGUUUUUUUGGAGAAACAGUUGCUAGUUACCCACAUACCUGUCAUCCCUUGCAUUUUAUCUGGGUCUCUGCUUAACCACCAUUAGCUCAGAGAAGUCCUGUCAGACCACAUUAGUGGGGUUUAUUAUGGCUUUCUAUCCUCUUAUUCCACUUUAUUUGCCUUCAUAGUAUUUAUCAUUACUUAAUGCUAUAUCAUAUAUGUAUCUAUUUACCUGUUUUCUGGUUCCUCCACUGAAUUAUAAUUUUUAAACUGACAAAAAAAUAAAAAUAACUUGUUUGGAUUACUGCUUAUUUUUCUCCUGUGUUGAAAAUAGAAGCCCAGUACAUAUCAGGCACUUAAUAAAUAUUUUUGAAAAAUGAAUGAAUACAACUGGCAUUCUCAGAUUCUUAGGUAAAUUUGUUGGAUCGUUUGUUAUAAGUCAAUGUUGGCAGGACUCUAGACCCCUCUCAUUGUGUUACACUCAAUAAGAACAUUUGCAAGUAAUCUAGAAAUCAGUAUAAGAAGGGAGGAAGAAAAAAAAAUAUUUUACAGCUUCUGAUCAGUGUUGUAUAACUAGCCUCUGACAAUUACAAGAUUGUUGUAAUACUUUCAAUAUUCUUUUAAUACUGGGGCACCUGGGUGGCUCCGUGGUUAAGUGUCUGCCUUCGGCUCAGAUCAUGAUCCUGAGGUCCUGGGGUCAAGUCCCGCAUGGGGCUCCCCACAAGGAGCCUGCUUCUCCCUCUGCCUAUGUCUCUGCCUCUCUUUCUGUGUCUCUCAUGAAUAAAUAAAUAAAAUCUUUUAAAAAAAUUGUAAUACUUUCAAGAUUGUUAUAAUACUUCCAAGAUUGUUCAGUAAAAGGUGAUAAGAUCUGUAAGUAAGUUUCUUAUGACAUCUGUAAACAAAGCAGGGAAGCCACCAUAUUUGAACUAAGACUGGCCACAUCCCCUGUGGGGUGGCUUUCCUGCUUCUAACACAUCCUAAGAGUCCCAUUAAUAAUUCAGUGGCUAGGAAAGCAACCAGGCAACAGAGAUGCCACUGUCCAAAUGGGAUGUCAAACAAGAGACCAAAUGUCAAAAAUGUCAUGAAGGAGGAUGGCCUGUGUACCUACACAGUGUCUCUACAGCACUGGACUAGCUGACCCCCUAAGAAUAGUGAACCCAGCAAUGAGAGGACCUAGAGCCAUGAGCUAAUUAGCCCCCAAUAUUGAGAGAGUAGAGGGUGAUCUUACAGAAGAGAGAAUGAACUUGUUCUGUACAAGCUCAGAAAAGGACUUAUGAUUGAAAGUGAUGAAAAAACUGACUUGAGUUUAAUUUUUUAUAUUCAUUCUAACAAUUGGAAAUCUCACACAAUAGGAAAUAUUGUCUGUUCACCUGAAGAUUUUCUGACAAAACAUACUCUUUGUCCUUAUGCUUUCUACAC
Long non-coding RNA from Canis lupus familiaris (dog), 5912 nucleotides. RefSeq lists it as uncharacterized. The transcript has 4 exons. Lineage: Eukaryota; Metazoa; Chordata; Mammalia; Carnivora; Canidae. The record is from RefSeq and is a predicted model, not a curated record.